UGUCCAGACUCCUACGGGAGGCAGCAGUAGGGAAUUUUGCGCAAUGGGCGAAAGCCUGACGCAGCAACGCCGCGUGAUCGAGACGCCCUUCGGGGUGUAAAGAUCUGUCAGUGGGGACGAAACUUGACGGUACCCACAGAGGAAGCACCGGCUAACUCCGUGCCAGCAGCCGCGGUAAUACGGAGGAUGCGAGCGUUAUCCGGAUUUAUUGGGUUUAAAGGGUGCGCAGGCGGCACGGCAAGCCGGCGGUCAAAUCGCGGGGCUCAACCCCGCCCAGCCGUCGGAACUGCCGGGCUAGAGUGGGCGAGAAGUGCGCGGAAUGCGUGGUGUAGCGGUGAAAUGCAUAGAUAUCACGCAGAACUCCGAUUGCGAAGGCAGCGCACCGGCGCCCUACUGACGCUCAGGCACGAAAGCGUGGGUAUCGAACAGGAUUAGAUACCCGCGUACA
This 448-nucleotide ribosomal RNA is filed under the name uncultured bacterium. RNAcentral's name for it is "bacterial SSU rRNA". It matches the Rfam family "Bacterial small subunit ribosomal RNA", at positions 328 to 794 of the family's 1533-position model. The record is from RNAcentral.